AACGAACGCUGGCGGCGUGCCUAACACAUGCAAGUCGAACGAGACCUUCGGGUCUGGUGGCUCCCCGGUGCGUAACGCGUUGGGACAUGCCCGUGGGUUCUGCCUAGCUCCCCGGAAGGGGUGCUACUACCGGAUAAUAUCUUCGGACCGAAGAUGUAUCGGCUUUGGAUGGGGCCGCGUUGUAUUAGCUAGUUGGUAGGGUAAAAGCCUACCAAGGCGAUGAUCCAUAGCUGGUCUGAGAGGCUGCUCAGCCACACUGGGACUGGGACACGGCCCAGACGCCUACGAGAGGCAGCAGUAGUGAAUAUUGGACCACGGGCGAGAUCCUGAGCCAGCAAUGCCGCGUGAACGAUGAAGGCCUUAGGAUUGUAAAUCUCUUUUACCCGGGAUGAUAAUGACAGUACCGGGAGAAUAAGCUCCGGCUAACUCCGUG
RNAcentral lists this ribosomal RNA (433 nucleotides) under uncultured bacterium. Its description in RNAcentral is "partial 16S ribosomal RNA". It matches the Rfam family "Bacterial small subunit ribosomal RNA", at positions 29 to 507 of the family's 1533-position model. The record is from RNAcentral.